This 76-nucleotide transfer RNA is filed under the name Oceanidesulfovibrio marinus. RNAcentral describes it as "tRNA-Phe". It matches the Rfam family "tRNA". Rfam says of the family: Transfer RNA (tRNA) molecules are approximately 80 nucleotides in length. Their secondary structure includes four short double-helical elements and three loops (D, anti-codon, and T loops). RNAcentral also lists the same sequence under 1 other name. Lineage: Bacteria; Pseudomonadati; Thermodesulfobacteriota; Desulfovibrionia; Desulfovibrionales; Desulfovibrionaceae. The record is from RNAcentral.
GCCGAGGUAGCUCAGUUGGUAGAGCAGGGGACUGAAAAUCCCCGUGUCGGCAGUUCGAUUCUGUCCCUCGGCACCA